AUCACUCCUGAUAAUUGAGUUAAUUUUUGAAAAAUUGUGUUUAAUUGGUUAUUUGCUUGGGGAAAAAAUUGGAUCCCUACUUCAAAUAAUCAUAUGUUUGAGUUAAAGAUUUAUCUUUUAAAAGUCAUAUUUUAAAACUUAAAAACAUAUUCACUUGACCUGAGCAUGUGAAGAAAAAUGUUGAGAUAAAAUGAAAAGGCAUAGCCAUUAAAGAAAGACACGAGGGGCAGGGGAUGUGGCUCAAAUGGUAGCGCGCUCACCUGGCAUGCGUGAGGCACUGGGUUCGAUUCUCAGCACCACAUAAAAAGUCAAAAAGCCAAAAGAUAUUUUCAAAAUAAAGGGUUAUUUUAUGAAACAAAAAUGCAGAGAAAAUCUAAAAGGCUGAUAAACCAAUACAAAAAAUAUUCUUCAUUGAUGUUGGAGAAAUAGUAACUAAAAGACAAGUUACUACAUCAAAUUAGCAAAAAAAAAAUGCAAGUUUCAAAAUAUCAAGUGUUAAGUACAUGAAGCAGUGGGAACUCUUACUGUUGGUGGAGAGACACUGGCACAAUAAUCAGUUUACUGUAUCUAGUAAACUAAGUUCCCUUGUCACCUCAGAAAAGUGCUUGUGAGUGUGUGUAAGGACACAUCUGCAAAAACACUCAUGGCAGCCUGUAUACAACAGAAGGUGAUCCUAAUGAGUGUUCAACACUGGGAACACUCACAUGAGAGGCUUCUGUGCAACAGUCAGAGCGAACAAGCUAGAGUCAUGGAUCAGCAAAGACGGUUAAAAGUAACUGAGAAAAGGUGUGUUUUAUGAUACCAAUUAUAUAAAGCAUAAAAUAUGCUAAAUGACAUAUAUUGUGGCUGUGUAGAUAGAAAAAAAUAAAAUAUGCACACAUUUAUUUGCUAGUGGUUACUUUAGGAACCAACAAAGGAAGAUGAAAUUGAGAUUUACAGGAGGUAUCAAUUGUAUUUUAUUUUAUAAACUGUGAAAACAAGUGUUUCAACUUUAGGUUUUAUAUAUUCUAGAAGCAGUUAAUGUUUUAAAGGUCACGUGGGACUUGGGAGGAUAUGAGUCAUUAAUACACACAUGAUCUAAAAAGUUUCCCUGUCUACACCAUUUUAGAAGAUGUUACCAUCUCAUUUGAGAAGUUUGAGAACGGUUUUCACCUAUCAUUUCCUCAUGUCACAGUAAAAGUGAGAAACGGGAAUGGUCCAGAAUCAAACUUUUGAGUUUCAUAUUUAAUUUUUGACAUCUAGACAUUGUUUUUUGCCUUUCCUCCCUCAAUGAGAUUAUUUAGAAUAGUUUAAAAUUACAGUUUAUAUUUUAUAUGUAAUAAAGUAUGAAACACCCCCCCUUUUUUUUUGUCCCCAGCAUCUCACAUCCCUCUCUGAUGAUUAUGGCUGUUAAUAUUUUG
Molecule: long non-coding RNA, 1400 nt
Filed under: Marmota monax (woodchuck)
Lineage: Eukaryota; Metazoa; Chordata; Mammalia; Rodentia; Sciuridae
Source: RNAcentral